AUGGUGCUGUUUUGGGCUCUGAUUUGGGCUCCGUUUUGGGCUCCAUGUGGGGCUGAACGGUGCUGUUUUGGGCUCCGUUUUGGGCGCUGUUUGGGGCUCUGUUUGGGGCUCCGUUUUGGGCUCUGUUGGGGCUCCACUUUGGGCUCUGUUUGGGGCUCUGUUGGGGCUUCAUUUGGGGCUCUGUUGGGGCUCCAUUUGGGGCUCCAUUUGGGGCUCCAUUUGGGGCUCCAUUUUGGGCUCCAUUUGGGGCUCUGUUGGGGCUCCAUUUGGGGCUCCAUUUGGGCUCUGUUGGGGCUCUGUUGGGGCUCUGUUUGGGCUCCAUUUGGGGCGCUGUUUGGGGCUCGGUUUGGGGCUCGGUUUGGGCUCCAUUUUGGGCUCCAUUUGGGGCUCUGUUGGGGCUCUGUUUUGGGCUCCAUUUGGGGCUCUGUUUUGGGCUCCCUUUUGGGCUCUGUUGGGGCUCUGUUGGGGCUCCGUUUUGGGCUCCAUUUUGGGCUCCAUUUGGGGCUCUGUUGGGGCUCCAUUUGGGGCUCUGUUGGGGCUCCAUUUGGGGCUCCAUUUGGGGCUCCAUUUUGGGCUCCAUUUGGGGCGCUGUUUGGGGCUCGGUUUGGGCUCCAUUUGGGGCUCCAUUUGGGGCUCGGUUUGGGGCUCGGUUUGGGCUCCGUGUGUCUGAAGGCGCGGUUGUGCCCAGCUGCAGGCGCUGCACCGUGCGCAGCUCCCCGCGCCGCCCGCCCUGCAGCAGCAGCACCAGGAGCUGCGGCAGCGCCUGCAGGCCCUGCGCUCACAGCUGCAGCACGGCGGCCCCGCAUGGCGCGCAGGUGGGACCCGGCCCCGCACCCGCCCUCAGGGCCCGAUCCGUCCCCGUUGGUCCCAUUGGGUCCCCAUUGGGUCCCCGUUGGGUCCCCCUUGUGUCCCCAUUGCGUCCCCUUUGUGUCCCCCUUGUGUCCCCAUUGGAUCCCAUUGGGUCCCCGUUGGGUCCCCAUUGGGUCCCAUUGGGUCCCCCUUGUGUCCCUCUUGUCUCCCCAUUGUGUCCCCGUUGGGUCCCCAUUGGAUCCCAUUGGGUCCCCGUUGAGUCCCAUUGGGUCCCCAUUGUGUCCCCGUUGGGUCCCAUUGGGUUCCCUGCUCCCCGUUGGGUCCCAUUGGGUCCCCUUUGUGUCCCCAUUGGGUCCCCCUUGUGUCCCCCUUGUGUCCCAUUGGGUCCCCUGCUCCCCAUUGGGUCCCAUUGGGUCCCCUUUGUGUCCCUCUUGUGUCCCCAUUGGGUCCCCCUUGUGUCUCCAUUGGAUCCCAUUGGGUCCCCUUUGUGUCCCCGUUGGGUCCCCGUUGUGUCCCCACUGUGUCCUCGUUGGAUCCCCAUCGGGUCCCAUUGGGUUCCCUGCUCCCCAUUGUGUCCCCAUUGGGUUCUCCAGUCCCUACAGUGACCCCAUUGGGUUCUCUGAUCCUCAGUGGGUCCCCAUUGUGUCCCCAUUGGGUUCCCUGCUCCCCACUGGGUUCCCUGCCCCCCCAUAUUGUCCCCAUUGUGUCCCCUGCCCCCAUAUUUUCCCCAUUGUGUCCCCAUUGGGUUCCCUGCUCCCCAUUGGGUUCCCUGUCCCCCAUAUUGUCCCCAUUGUGUCCCCAUGUUGUCCCCAUAUUGUCCCCAUAUUGUCCCCAUGUUGUCCCCAUGUUGUCCCCAUUGUGUCCCCAUAUUGUCCCCAUAUUGUCCCCAUAUUGUCCCCAUACUGUCCCCAUACUGUCCCCAUAUUGUCCCCAUUGUGUCCCCAUGUUGUCCCCAUGUUGUCCCCAUGUUGUCCCCAUUGUGUCC
This 1795-nucleotide long non-coding RNA is filed under the name Phasianus colchicus (ring-necked pheasant). RNAcentral describes it as "lncRNA (ENSPCLG00000019815.1)". The record is from RNAcentral. Lineage: Eukaryota; Metazoa; Chordata; Aves; Galliformes; Phasianidae.